This is a long non-coding RNA of Micropterus dolomieu (smallmouth bass), 875 nucleotides long. RefSeq lists it as uncharacterized. The record is from RefSeq and is a predicted model, not a curated record. Lineage: Eukaryota; Metazoa; Chordata; Actinopteri; Centrarchiformes; Centrarchidae. The transcript has 4 exons.
GCUAUCGCGACUCAGCGUCAUGCGACCUCUUUGCUUGAGUUGAAAAUAUUCAACUCACGUGAAUUCCUUCGCGUUGCCUUCGCGUAGCCAGCCCUGCCCCCUUCGCGCCGCCCGACAGGAAAUCGCGGCUCUACGCGUCUUUGCAUUGACUUUGUAUGUAAACUCACCGCUCCGAACGCUCCCUGCGCUUUUGGUCUGAAAGCACCAUUAGGCUACAGUAGCCUAUAUGUCUGCAUUUUUCCAGAUCUGUCCUCUCAAGUGUCUACCUAAGCGCUGAUUUUCCUCGAGCUACAAAGACAUUUCGGGCCUAAUUGAGGUGAGCAGACUGCUGUGCUCGUUCCGGGCACUGUCUUCCUCCCCAGAGCUGAAGAAACUAGUGACAGAAGUUCAGUUUGACAACAUGAAGAACAACAACAAUUGGAGGGGGCACAUUGAUUGUAUUUUCUAUGGCACGUACUGCUUUGCAGAGGGGACAACACUGCGGGUGCUGGAGGUGCCACCCUGGUCAUGAAUACAAGAGGUAACAGCGAGUACUGAUACAGUCAAAUCUUACGGUUUCAUUGGAAUGUAUACAACAACACAAGGCCAUUGUACUGGAAAUACUAAACAAGUCAAGCAUCUCACAUCACUGGGAGGUACUGCUAGUGACCCUGAGGUAACCGGAAAAGAAGUCAUGGACUGGCUCUCACCAGGAACAGAGGCAUAAAUUACAUUUUAUUCUGAAAUGAUCCAUAGUGGAAAAAUGUAAGACAGAGCAGAGGGCCACGGGGCUAUUUUCAGGAUCACCAAACAUAUUCAAGUUAACUCAAGUUGACUAAAUAUGGUUCUAUGUGAAGUGCUUUGUCUGUUUCUUUCCAAUACCUUUAUCAUAAUAU